GCAGUCGAGCGAACAGACGAGGAGCUUGCUCCUCUGACGUUAGCGGCGGACGGGUGAGUAACACGUGGAUAACCUACCUAUAAGACUGGGAUAACUUCGGGAAACCGGAGCUAAUACCGGAUAAUAUAUUGAACCGCAUGGUUCAAUAGUGAAAGACGGUUUUGCUGUCACUUAUAGAUGGAUCCGCGCCGCAUUAGCUAGUUGGUAAGGUAACGGCUUACCAAGGCAACGAUGCGUAGCCGACCUGAGAGGGUGAUCGGCCACACUGGAACUGAGACACGGUCCAGACUCCUACGGGAGGCAGCAGUAGGGAAUCUUCCGCAAUGGGCGAAAGCCUGACGGAGCAACGCCGCGUGAGUGAUGAAGGUCUUCGGAUCGUAAAACUCUGUUAUUAGGGAAGAACAAAUGUGUAAGUAACUAUGCACGUCUUGACGGUACCUAAUCAGAAAGCCACGGCUAACUACGUGCCAGCAGCCGCGGUAAUACGUAGGUGGCAAGCGUUAUCCGGAAUUAUUGGGCGUAAAGCGCGCGUAGGCGGUU
This 540-nucleotide ribosomal RNA is filed under the name Staphylococcus epidermidis. RNAcentral's name for it is "bacterial SSU rRNA". It matches the Rfam family "Bacterial small subunit ribosomal RNA", at positions 57 to 580 of the family's 1533-position model. The record is from RNAcentral. Lineage: Bacteria; Bacillati; Bacillota; Bacilli; Caryophanales; Staphylococcaceae.